This 250-nucleotide ribosomal RNA is filed under the name uncultured bacterium. Its description in RNAcentral is "partial 16S ribosomal RNA". It matches the Rfam family "Bacterial small subunit ribosomal RNA", at positions 524 to 773 of the family's 1533-position model. The record is from RNAcentral.
UACGUAGGUGGCAAGCGUUGUCCGGAAUUAUUGGGCGUAAAGGGCGUGUAGGUGGAUUUUUAAGUCGUGUGUCUAAGUGCGGGGCUCAACCCCGUAUAGGCGCAGGAAACUGGGAAUCUUGAGUGCAGGAGAGGAAAGUGGAAUUCCCAGUGUAGCGGUGAAAUGCGUAGAUAUUGGGAGGAACACCAGUGGCGAAGGCGACUUUCUGGACUGUGUCUGACACUGAGGCGCGAAAGCUAGGGGAGCGAAC